AGUCUGCUGGUGUGGUGUGGUUUCUGUUUGUACCAGUUUAGGUACUUUAUUUGCAUGUUCUUUGCAUGACUUUUUUGAUGUUUUUGUUGGUUUGUAUGGGUGUGGGUGUUUUACCCGUAGUUCUUCUCUUUGUUACACCUGGGAUUCUAAACGGGUUAGAAAGGUGACGUUAUGCAUUCUACACCCUGUAGAACUCUAAUCUGUUUGGAGUCUCAGAAUGGAUUAUGCACACCAAGAGUCCAGCUGACUGCUCUGAACCUCAAAGCCUUACAGGAGUUUCUCAAGAACUGCUACAAUACAGGAAAAAGUUUUAAAAUAUUUUACAUUGAAAGUUUAAGUUUUGAAAGUGGAGUGUUCUUGAGGAGGAUGGGGAAGAAAGUCAAAAUCAAAUAAAUAAAUAUUCAUUCUGAAAAA
Astyanax mexicanus (Mexican tetra) is the source of this 414-nucleotide long non-coding RNA. RefSeq lists it as uncharacterized. NCBI's taxonomy places the organism in Eukaryota, Metazoa, Chordata, Actinopteri, Characiformes, Acestrorhamphidae. The record is from RefSeq and is a predicted model, not a curated record. The transcript is spliced from 2 exons.